This is a non-coding RNA of Oryctolagus cuniculus (rabbit), 1264 nucleotides long. The record is from RefSeq and is a predicted model, not a curated record. NCBI's taxonomy places the organism in Eukaryota, Metazoa, Chordata, Mammalia, Lagomorpha, Leporidae.
AGUGAGAGAGAGAGACAGAGAGAAAGGUCUUCCUUUUGCCAUUGGUUCACCUUCCAAUGGCCGCCGCGGCCGGUGUGCCGCGGCCGGCGUGCUGCGGCCAGUGCACCACAGCCAGCGCACCACGCUGAUCCGAAGGCAGGAGCGAGGUGCUUCUCCUGGUCUCCCAUGGGGUGCAGGGCCCAAGCACCUGGGCCAUCCUCCACUGCACUCCUGGGCCACAGCAGAGAGCUGGCCUGGAAGGGGGGCAACCGGGACAGAAUCUGGCGCUCCGACCGGGACUAGAACCUGGUGUGCCGGCGCUGCUAGGCGGAGGAUUAGCCUAGUGAGCCGCGGCGCUGGCCUAAAGAUUUAUUUUUAUUCAUUUGACAGGCAGAGUUACAGAGAGAGAGAGAGAGAGAGAGAUUAAUCUUCCAUCUGCUGGUUGAUUCCCCAAAUGGCUGCAAUGACCGGGACUGAGCCAGGCUGAAGCCAGGAGUGUGCAGCUCCAUCUGAUCUCCCACGGAUGGAACGAGUGACUGUGAGAGGACUGGUCACUUGUAAGGCACCUGCAGAUGUGACGCUAUGACUAUUCAUUACUCAUCACUCUGAUUAUUGUGUGCCACUCUUCCCAGAGCCACUGAAGAGGCUUUUGAGUACCUCGUUGAGUGGCAGCCUCGAGGAACUGAAAUCCAGAUCACUGAGCGUCCUUGGAACCUUCUGGCAUUAAGUCUCCAGAGAACUCCCUUGGCCAUCACGGUAGACACACAUCCCAUUGACCACAUGGCUGCCGGCUCCACCAGGCUUAGAACAACUGGCAUUUCUUCGGAGGAUGAAAAAGAUUCCAGCAAAUCUAAGUGAGUUUUCUUGCUCUCAUUGGACUCUGCUAUCUUUUAUUCAUGUGUAAGCAUCUCUAUUUUUCUGGCUGUGGUACAAACAUAUCUGAUGGUAGAAAGACAAAUGCAAGCAUGAAUGGAUCCCCUUGGACUUGAUACCUGCUUCAUUUAAUAGACAGGGUGAGAAGCCAGUUUAGUGAGAUGACACAGCCCCUGUCACUUCGUGUGGGCAGUUGGAGCCUUUUAGUCACUCAUCUUCCCCACCAACCCUCUACAGUGGAGUAUGAACACCAAAUUUCAAAGAGGAAGAGCUGGCAACUGGGAGCUGGGAGUGGGUCAGCAACAGUCUCAAAGUCGCACAGGCAGUGAGCGGCUGUCGGUCAGGAAGAGUUACACAAGGCAUUGAUAACAAAGGGCCCUGAAUCCUAGUAGCUUGCUGUAACCAAGCUUCU